RNAcentral lists this ribosomal RNA (301 nucleotides) under uncultured bacterium. RNAcentral's name for it is "partial 16S ribosomal RNA". It matches the Rfam family "Bacterial small subunit ribosomal RNA", at positions 509 to 807 of the family's 1533-position model. The record is from RNAcentral.
CAGUCGCCGCGGUAAUACAGAGGGUGCGAGCGUUAAUCUGAUUUACUGGGCGUAAAGCGUGCGUAGGCGGCUUCUUAAGUCGGAUGUGAAAUCCCUGAGCUUAACUUAGGAAUUGCAUUCGAUACUGGGAAGCUAGAGUAUGGGAGAGGAUGGUAGAAUUCCAGGUGUAGCGGUGAAAUGCGUAGAUAUCUGGAGGAAUACCGAUGGCGAAGGCAGCCAUCUGGCCUAAUACUGACGCUGAGGUACGAAAGCAUGGGGAGCAAACAGGAUUAGAUACCCCUGUAGUCCCUGUCUCUUAUAC